This 508-nucleotide ribosomal RNA is filed under the name Batrisomina sp. JPBO5. RNAcentral's name for it is "partial large subunit ribosomal RNA". The stretch from base 382 to 508 matches the Rfam family "Bacterial large subunit ribosomal RNA", at positions 2473 to 2600 of the family's 2925-position model. Lineage: Eukaryota; Metazoa; Arthropoda; Insecta; Coleoptera; Staphylinidae. The record is from RNAcentral.
GUCUUUUUGAGUUUAAUUUAAAGUCUAAUCUGCCCACUGAUUUUAAAGGGCCGCAGUAUAUUGACUGUGCAAAGGUAGCAUAAUAAUUAGUUUUUUAAUUGAAAGCUGGUAUGAAUGAUUGGACGAGAAUAAAGCUGUCUCUGAUUAAUAAAAUUAGAAUUUAAUUUUUAAGUAAAAAAGCUUAAGUUUAAUUUAAAGACAAGAAGACCCUUUAGAGUUUUAUAUUAAAUUAUAAUAUAUUUAUUAAAAUAGUUAGAUUUAUUAUGAAUUUUGUAUUUAUUUGGGGUGAAUUUAAAAUUUAUUAAACUUUUAAUAUGAUAAAAACAAUAGUGAUUGUUUUAUUGAUCCAAUUUUUUGAUUAAUAGGUUAAAUUACCUAAGGGAUAACAGCGUAAUUUUUUUGGAGAGUUCUUAUUAAUAGAAAAGAUUGCGACCUCGAUGUUGGAUUAAGAUUAAUUUAUAAUGUAUAAGUUAUAAUUGUAAGUCUGUUCGACUUUUAAAUUCUUACA